GACGAACGCUGGCGGCGUGCUUAACACAUGCAAGUCGAACGGAAAGGCCCUGCUUUUGUGGGGUGCUCGAGUGGCGAGCGGGUGAGUAACACGUGAGUAACCUGCCCUUGACUUUGGGAUAACUUCAGGAAACUGGGGCUAAUACCGGAUAGGAGCUCCUGCUGCAUGGUGGGGGUUGGAAAGUUUCGGUGGUUGGGGAUGGACUCGCGGCUUAUCAGCUUGUUGGUGGGGUAGUGGCUUACCAAGGCUUUGACGGGUAGCCGGCCUGAGAGGGUGACCGGCCACAUUGGGACUGAGAUACGGCCCAGACUCCUACGGGAGGCAGCAGUGGGGAAUAUUGCACAAUGGGCGGAAGCCUGAUGCAGCAACGCCGCGUGCGGGAUGACGGCCUUCGGGUUGUAAACCGCUUUCGCCUGUGACGAAGCGUGAGUGACGGUAAUGGGUAAAGAAGCACCGGCUAACUACGUG
This 468-nucleotide ribosomal RNA is filed under the name uncultured bacterium. RNAcentral describes it as "partial 16S ribosomal RNA". It matches the Rfam family "Bacterial small subunit ribosomal RNA", at positions 28 to 507 of the family's 1533-position model. The record is from RNAcentral.